RNAcentral lists this unclassified non-coding RNA (290 nucleotides) under Athalia rosae (coleseed sawfly). Its description in RNAcentral is "misc RNA ENSAEAG00005012574.1". Lineage: Eukaryota; Metazoa; Arthropoda; Insecta; Hymenoptera; Athaliidae. The record is from RNAcentral.
GAAAUUGAUGCUCCGUUACUUUACGAAAGUGUCGAGCCAAAACUAAGGAAAUCGAUAAUCGCUCGAAUGGGAGGAAUUUGGCACCCACCGACUUGUCACCGUGACAGGUGCAUGUAGCAGUACGUAUACCAAAGAGCUGGAUGUCUGCUUGAGUCACGAGGCGCGUGCGUCAAAAGACGACAAGAUGGGAGCAAUGCGCGGAAAUCAAACUGGCUACGCACAAUGUCAUACGAAACGAUGCCACACAUUCAUUACACCUUCGUUAAGUUUUCAUUGAUGGUUUAUUCAUC